RNAcentral lists this ribosomal RNA (468 nucleotides) under uncultured bacterium. RNAcentral's name for it is "bacterial SSU rRNA". It matches the Rfam family "Bacterial small subunit ribosomal RNA", at positions 28 to 507 of the family's 1533-position model. The record is from RNAcentral.
GAUGAACGCUAGCGACAGGCCUAACACAUGCAAGUCGAGGGGCAGCACGGUGUAGCAAUACACGGGUGGCGACCGGCGCACGGGUGAGUAACGCGUAUGCAACCUGCCUACUACAAGGGGAUAACCCGUUGAAAGACGGACUAAUACCCUAUAACACAGGGAAUCCGCAUGGAUAUAUUUGUUAAAGAUUUAUCGGUAGUAGAUGGGCAUGCGUUCCAUUAGCUUGUUGGUGAGGUAACGGCUCACCAAGGCAACGAUGGAUAGGGGAACUGAGAGGUUGAUCCCCCACACUGGAACUGAGACACGGUCCAGACUCCUACGGGAGGCAGCAGUGGGGAAUAUUGGACAAUGGGCGAAAGCCUGAUCCAGCAACGCCGCGUGAGGGAUGACGGCCUUCGGUUGUAACCUCUUCAGUAGGACGAAGCGAAGUAGACGGUACCUACAGAAGAAGGACCGGCCAACUACGUG